UUGAAGAGUUUGAUCAUGGCUCAGAUUGAACGCUGGCGGCAGGCCUAACACAUGCAAGUCGAACGGUAACAGGAAACAGCUUGCUGUUUCGCUGACGAGUGGCGGACGGGUGAGUAAUGUCUGGGAAACUGCCCGAUGGAGGGGGAUAACUACUGGAAACGGUAGCUAAUACCGCAUAACGUCGCAAGACCAAAGAGGGGGACCUUCGGGCCUCUUGCCAUCGGAUGUGCCCAGAUGGGAUUAGCUAGUAGGUGGGGUAACGGCUCACCUAGGCGACGAUCCCUAGCUGGUCUGAGAGGAUGACCAGCCACACUGGAACUGAGACACGGUCCAGACUCCUACGGGAGGCAGCAGUGGGGAAUAUUGCACAAUGGGCGCAAGCCUGAUGCAGCCAUGCCGCGUGUAUGAAGAAGGCCUUCGGGUUGUAAAGUACUUUCAGCGGGGAGGAAGGGAGUAAAGUUAAUACCUUUGCUCAUUGACGUUACCCGCAGAAGAAGCACCGGCUAACUCCGUGCCAGCAGCCGCGGUAAUACGGAGGGUGCAAGCGUUAAUCGGAAUUACUGGGCGUAAAGCGCACGCAGGCGGUUUGUUAAGUCAGAUGUGAAAUCCCCGGGCUCAACCUGGGAACUGCAUCUGAUACUGGCAAGCUUGAGUCUCGUAGAGGGGGGGUAGAAUUCCAGGUGUAGCGGUGAAAUGCGUAGAGAUCUGGAGGAAUACCGGUGGCGAAGGCGGCCCCCUGGACGAAGACUGACGCUCAGGUGCGAAAGCGUGGGGAGCAAACAGGAUUAGAUACCCUGGUAGUCCACGCCGUAAACGAUGUCGACUUGGAGGUUGUGCCCUUGAGGCGUGGCUUCCGGAGCUAACGCGUUAAGUCGACCGCCUGGGGAGUACGGCCGCAAGGUUAAAACUCAAAUGAAUUGACGGGGGCCCGCACAAGCGGUGGAGCAUGUGGUUUAAUUCGAUGCAACGCGAAGAACCUUACCUGGUCUUGACAUCCACGGAAGUUUUCAGAGAUGAGAAUGUGCCUUCGGGAACCGUGAGACAGGUGCUGCAUGGCUGUCGUCAGCUCGUGUUGUGAAAUGUUGGGUUAAGUCCCGCAACGAGCGCAACCCUUAUCCUUUGUUGCCAGCGGUCCGGCCGGGAACUCAAAGGAGACUGCCAGUGAUAAACUGGAGGAAGGUGGGGAUGACGUCAAGUCAUCAUGGCCCACGACCGGGGCUACACGUGCUACAAUGGCGCAUACAAAGAGAAGCGACCUCGCGAGAGCAAGCGGACCUCAUAAAGUGCGUCGUAGUCCGGAUUGGAGUCUGCAACUCGACUCCAUGAAGUCGGAAUCGCUAGUAAUCGUGGAUCAGAAUGCCACGGUGAAUACGUUCCCGGGCCUUGUACACACCGCCCGUCACACCAUGGGAGUGGGUUGCAAAAGAAGUAGGUAGCUUAACCUUCGGGAGGGCGCUUACCACUUUGUGAUUCAUGACUGGGGUGAAGUCGUAACAAGGUAACCGUAGGGGAACCUGCGGUUGGAUCACCUCCUU
Molecule: ribosomal RNA, 1535 nt
Filed under: Escherichia coli
Lineage: Bacteria; Pseudomonadati; Pseudomonadota; Gammaproteobacteria; Enterobacterales; Enterobacteriaceae
Description: 16S ribosomal RNA
Rfam family: Bacterial small subunit ribosomal RNA
Source: RNAcentral